Molecule: ribosomal RNA, 151 nt
Filed under: Oscheius sp. FVV-2
Lineage: Eukaryota; Metazoa; Nematoda; Chromadorea; Rhabditida; Rhabditidae
Description: 5.8S ribosomal RNA
Rfam family: 5.8S ribosomal RNA
About the family: 5.8S ribosomal RNA (5.8S rRNA) is a component of the large subunit of the eukaryotic ribosome. It is transcribed by RNA polymerase I as part of the 45S precursor that also contains 18S and 28S rRNA.
Source: RNAcentral
CUACCUUUAGGGAUUGAUCGGUUGCUUCCUUAAUCGAUGAAAAGCGGAGCUAGCUCCGUUAUUUACCACGAAUUGCGAACGCUUUGAGUGGCAAAAUCUUGAAUGCACAGCACCGCUGGCUUCGGCUAACGGUACGUCUGCAUCAGGGAAG